AGUCGAACGGCAGCACGGGGGCAACCCUGGUGGCGAGUGGCGAACGGGUGAGUAAUACAUCGGAACGUGUCCUGUAGUGGGGGAUAGCCCGGCGAAAGCCGGAUUAAUACCGCAUACGCUCUACGGAGGAAAGGGGGGGAUCUUAGGACCUCCCGCUACAGGGGCGGCCGAUGGCAGAUUAGCUAGUUGGUGGGGUAAAGGCCUACCAAGGCGACGAUCUGUAGCUGGUCUGAGAGGACGACCAGCCACACUGGGACUGAGACACGGCCCAGACUCCUACGGGAGGCAGCAGUGGGGAAUUUUGGACAAUGGGGGCAACCCUGAUCCAGCAAUGCCGCGUGUGUGAAGAAGGCCUUCGGGUUGUAAAGCACUUUUGUCCGGAAAGAAAACGCCGUGGUUAAUACCCGUGGCGGAUGACGGUACCGGAAGAAUAAGCACCGGCUAACUACGUGCCAGCAGCCGCGGUAAUACGUAGGGUGCAAGCGUUAAUCGGAAUUACUGGGCGUAAAGCGUGCGCAGGCGGUCCGCUAAGACAGAUGUGAAAUCCCCGGGCUUAACCUGGGAACUGCAUUUGUGACUGGCGGGCUAGAGUAUGGCA
Molecule: ribosomal RNA, 598 nt
Filed under: Burkholderia sp. ZQ-2
Lineage: Bacteria; Pseudomonadati; Pseudomonadota; Betaproteobacteria; Burkholderiales; Burkholderiaceae
Description: bacterial SSU rRNA
Rfam family: Bacterial small subunit ribosomal RNA
Source: RNAcentral